UACAGAGGGUGCAAACGUUGCUCGGAAUUACUGGGCGUAAAGCGUACGUAGGCGGAUUCGCAAGUCGGGCGUGAAAUCCCUGGGCUCAACCCAGGAACUGCGUUCGAAACUGCGUAUCUUGAGUGAUGGAGAGGGAAUCGGAAUUCUCGGUGUAGAGGUGAAAUUCGUAGAUAUCGAGAGGAACACCAGUGGCGAAAGCGGAUUCCUGGACAUUUACUGACGCUGAGGUACGAAAGCGUGGGGAGCAAACAGG
This 253-nucleotide unclassified non-coding RNA is filed under the name uncultured Myxococcales bacterium. RNAcentral's name for it is "contains 16S-23S intergenic spacer region". It matches the Rfam family "Bacterial small subunit ribosomal RNA", at positions 524 to 776 of the family's 1533-position model. Lineage: Bacteria; Pseudomonadati; Myxococcota; Myxococcia; Myxococcales. The record is from RNAcentral.